Pristionchus pacificus is the source of this 45-nucleotide non-coding RNA. NCBI's taxonomy places the organism in Eukaryota, Metazoa, Nematoda, Chromadorea, Rhabditida, Neodiplogasteridae. The record is from Rfam.
CCAACGGCCCUCUUUAGGGCCACAAUCACGUUCCAAACCAAGUUG